GACGAACGCUGGCGGCGUGCUUAACACAUGCAAGUCGAACGGAAAGGCCCUGCUUUUGUGGGGUGCUCGAGUGGCGAACGGGUGAGUAACACGUGAGUAACCUGCCCUUCACUUUGGGAUAACUUCAGGAAACUGGGGCUAAUACCGGAUAGGAGCUCCUGCUGCAUGGUGGGGGUCGGAAAGUUUCGGCGGUUGGGGAUGGACUCGCGGCUUAUCAGCUUGUUGGUGGGGUAGUGGCUUACCAAGGCUUUGACGGGUAGCCGGCCUGAGAGGGUGACCGGCCACAUUGGGACUGAGAGACGGCCCAGACUCCUACGGGAGGCAGCAGUGGGGAAUAUUGCACAAUGGGCGGAAGCCUGAUGAAGCAACGCCGCGUGCGGGAUGACGGCCUGCGGGUUGUAAACCGCUUUCGCCUGUGACGAAGCGUGAGUGACGGUAAUGGGUAAAGAAGCACCGGCUAACUACGUG
RNAcentral lists this ribosomal RNA (468 nucleotides) under uncultured bacterium. RNAcentral describes it as "partial 16S ribosomal RNA". It matches the Rfam family "Bacterial small subunit ribosomal RNA", at positions 28 to 507 of the family's 1533-position model. The record is from RNAcentral.